Molecule: ribosomal RNA, 497 nt
Filed under: uncultured bacterium
Lineage: Bacteria
Description: partial 16S ribosomal RNA
Rfam family: Bacterial small subunit ribosomal RNA
Source: RNAcentral
GAUGAACGCUGGCGGCGUGCCUAAUACAUGCAAGUCGAGCGAACAGACGAGGAGCUUGCUCCUCUGAUGUUAGCGGCGGACGGGUGAGUAACACGUGGAUAACCUACCUAUAAGACUGGGAUAACUUCGGGAAACCGGAGCUAAUACCGGAUAACAUGUUGAACCGCAUGGUUCAACAGUGAAAGACGGUCUUGCUGUCACUUAUAGAUGGAUCCGCGCCGUAUUAGCUAGUUGGUAAGGUAACGGCUUACCAAGGCAACGAUGCGUAGCCGACCUGAGAGGGUGAUCGGCCACACUGGAACUGAGACACGGUCCAGACUCCUACGGGAGGCAGCAGUAGGGAAUCUUCCGCAAAGGGCGAAAGCCUGACGGAGCAACGCCGCGUGAGUGAAGAAGGUCUUCGGAUCGUAAAACUCUGUUAUUAGGGAAGAACAAAUGUGUAAGUAACUAUGCACGUCUUGACGGUACCUAAUCAGAAAGCCACGGCUAACUACGUG